Molecule: ribosomal RNA, 253 nt
Filed under: uncultured bacterium
Lineage: Bacteria
Description: partial 16S ribosomal RNA
Rfam family: Bacterial small subunit ribosomal RNA
Source: RNAcentral
UACGUAGGGUGCGAGCGUUAAUCGGAAUUACUGGGCGUAAAGCGUGCGCAGGCUGUCUUGUAAGUCAGAUGUGAAAUCCCCGAGCUCAACUUGGGAACUGCGUUUGAAACUACAAGACUAGAAUAUGUCAGAGGGGGGUAGAAUUCCACGUGUAGCAGUGAAAUGCGUAGAGAUGUGGAGGAAUAUCAAUGGCGAAGGCAGCCCCCUGGGAUAAUAUUGACGCUCAUGCACGAAAGCGUGGGGAGCAAACAGG